GCGGCCUACUAUGCAGUCGACGCCCCGCAAGGGGAGUGGCUACGGGUGAGUAACGCGUGGGAACAUACCCUUUCCUGCGGAAUAGCUCCGGGAAACUGGAAUUAAUACCGCAUACGCCCUACGGGGGAAAGAUUUAUCGGGGAAGGAUUGGCCCGCGUUGGAUUAGCUAGUUGGUGGGGUAAAGGCCUACCAAGGCGACGAUCCAUAGCUGGUCUGAGAGGAUGAUCAGCCACAUUGGGACUGAGACACGGCCCAAACUCCUACGGGAGGCAGCAGUGGGGAAUAUUGGACAAUGGGCGCAAGCCUGAUCCAGCCAUGCCGCGUGAGUGAUGAAGGCCUUAGGGUUGUAAAGCUCUUUCACCGGAGAAGAUAAUGACGGUAUCCGGAGAAGAAGCCCCGGCUAANUUCGUGCCAGCCGCCCCGGUACUACCACCGCUCCUCCCG
Molecule: ribosomal RNA, 444 nt
Filed under: Rhizobium sp. IBA
Lineage: Bacteria; Pseudomonadati; Pseudomonadota; Alphaproteobacteria; Hyphomicrobiales; Rhizobiaceae
Description: bacterial SSU rRNA
Rfam family: Bacterial small subunit ribosomal RNA
Source: RNAcentral